CCUACGGGGGGCAGCAGUGGGGAAUAUUGGACAAUGGGGGCAACCCUGAUCCAGCCAUGCCGCGUGUGUGAAGAAGGCCCUCGGGUUGUAAAGCACUUUCAGUGAGGAAGAACGCCUGGUGGUUAAUACCCAUCAGGAAAGACAUCACUCACAGAAGAAGCACCGGCUAACUCCGUGCCAGCAGCCGCGGUAAUACGGAGGGUGCGAGCGUUAAUCGCAAUUACUGGGCGUAAAGCGCGCGUAGGUGGCUUGAUAAGCCGGUUGUGAAAGCCCCGGGCUCAACCUGGGAACGGCAUCCGGAACUGUCAAGCUAGAGUGCAGGAGAGGAAGGUAGAAUUCCCGGUGUAGCGGUGAAAUGCGUAGAGAUCGGGAGGAAUACCAGUGGCGAAGGCGGCCUUCUGGACUGACACUGACACUGAGGUGCGAAAGCGUGGGUAGCAAACAGGAUUAGAUACCCCGGUAGUC
RNAcentral lists this ribosomal RNA (465 nucleotides) under Vreelandella stevensii. Its description in RNAcentral is "partial 16S ribosomal RNA". It matches the Rfam family "Bacterial small subunit ribosomal RNA", at positions 338 to 795 of the family's 1533-position model. The record is from RNAcentral. Lineage: Bacteria; Pseudomonadati; Pseudomonadota; Gammaproteobacteria; Oceanospirillales; Halomonadaceae.